CAGUCGCCACGGUAAUACGAAGGUCCCAAGCGUUGUUCGGAAUCACUGGGCGUAAAGGGAGCGUAGGCGGCGUGGUAAGUCAGAUGUGAAAUCCCGGGGCUCAACCCCGGAACUGCAUCCGAUACUGCCAUGCUUGAGGGUUGGAGAGGUAGCUGGAAUUCUCGGUGUAGCAGUGAAAUGCGUGGAUAUCGAGAGGAACACUCGUGGCGAAGGCGAGCUACUGGACAACAACUGACGCUGAGGCUCGAAGGCCAGGGUAGCGAAAGGGAUUAGAUACCCCGGUAGUCCCUGUCUCUUAUAC
RNAcentral lists this ribosomal RNA (301 nucleotides) under uncultured bacterium. RNAcentral describes it as "partial 16S ribosomal RNA". It matches the Rfam family "Bacterial small subunit ribosomal RNA", at positions 509 to 807 of the family's 1533-position model. The record is from RNAcentral.